RNAcentral lists this ribosomal RNA (483 nucleotides) under uncultured bacterium. Its description in RNAcentral is "partial 16S ribosomal RNA". It matches the Rfam family "Bacterial small subunit ribosomal RNA", at positions 28 to 523 of the family's 1533-position model. The record is from RNAcentral.
GACGAACGCUGGCGGCGUGCCUAACACAUGCAAGUCGAACGAGGUCCAAGGGAGCUUGCUCCCUGACGACCUAGUGGCGAACGGGUGAGUAACACGUGAGAAACCUGCCUCGGAGUGGGGAAUAACUCGGGGAAACUCGAGCUAAUACCGCAUACCUUCACAUGAUCGCAUGGUCGAGUGAAGAAAGAACUUCGCUCUGAGAGGGUCUCGCGGCCUAUCAGCUAGUUGGUGGGGUAACGGCCUACCACGGCAACGACGGGUAGCUGGUUUGAGAGGACGAUCAGCCACACUGGGACUGAGACACGGCCCAGACUCCUACGGGAGGCAGCAGUGGGGAGUCCUGCGCAAUGGGCGAAAGCCUGACGCAGCAACGCCGCGUGCGGGAUGACGGCCUUCGUGGUUGUAAACCGCUUUCAGCAGGGACGAAAUUGACGGUACCUGCAGAAGAAGCCCCGGCUAACUACGUGCCAGCCGCCGCCGUAA